GAUGAACGCUGGCGGCGUGCUUAACACAUGCAAGUCGAACGAGAAGUGAAGACGGAAACCUUCGGGCGGAAGGCUUUAUUUCGAGUGGCGGACGGGUGAGUAACGCGUGGGUAACCUGCCUCAUACAGGGGGAUAACAGUUGGAAACGACUGUUAAUACCGCAUAAGACCACAGCACCGCAUGGUGCGGGGGUAAAAACUCCGGUGGUAUGAGAUGGACCCGCGUUCGAUUCGCCAGUUGGCGGGGUAACGGCCCACCAAAGCGACGAUCGAUAGCCGAUCUGAGAGGAUGACCGGCCACAUUGGGACUGAGACACGGCCCAAACUCCUACGGGAGGCAGCAGUGGGGAAUAUUGCACAAUGGGGGAAAGCCUGAUGCAGCGACGCCGCGUGAGUGAAGAAGUAUUUCGGUAUGUAAAGCUCUAUCAGCAGGGAAGAAAAUGACGGUACCUGAGGAAGAAGCCCCGGCUAACUACGUG
RNAcentral lists this ribosomal RNA (478 nucleotides) under uncultured bacterium. Its description in RNAcentral is "partial 16S ribosomal RNA". It matches the Rfam family "Bacterial small subunit ribosomal RNA", at positions 28 to 507 of the family's 1533-position model. The record is from RNAcentral.